This is a long non-coding RNA of Grammomys surdaster, 1368 nucleotides long. RefSeq lists it as uncharacterized. NCBI's taxonomy places the organism in Eukaryota, Metazoa, Chordata, Mammalia, Rodentia, Muridae. The record is from RefSeq and is a predicted model, not a curated record. The transcript is spliced from 3 exons.
CUUCAGUGACUUGGUGCCAUCCCCAGCCUGAGGCCGUCAGCACCUCAGUUGUUCAAUCUGGCUAGGCUGCAGUUCCCUGGCUGUCCUGCUGUUAUCUCCUGUUCCUGAGCUGUGUAAAAGGAAGAAUAUUUUGAAGACUUUGUUCUGUGUCUCAUAUCCCUGUAACAAAUAAUAACUAUUGGCAGUAGUAACAGGGAAGAGUAAGUGAAAGGGGAAAGGGAACUGCACUUCAUCCUGGCUUUCACCAAGACACCGCCUUGCUGAGGUCUGCAGGAAGCCUGUUGUCACAGUGAAUCCUGUCACAGUGCAUGGAAACGCUAUACAGAGAUAGGCAAAUGUAGUGUGUGAGACAGAUUCUACUCAGCCUACUUUACACAGGGCAGCUCUGGGGUGUUACAACAGACUUCCGCAGGCUAGACCUCAGGAGAUGGACUGUGCAAGAGCAUCAGACUCAGCAAGCCUCCACUCAAAGCCUCAUGGUUGACUGCAACUGGGAAAUGUGGUUCACUGGAAGAUACAGCACACCAGGCUGUCUGGCAGAGUUUGCAGAGAUUUCUCACCUUCUAACUAUCCAGGGGCCCAUUCACCUGAAAUUCCUGCAACCAGGACCAGCUCUACCUUACUGUCCAGGUGAGGUACAGAGCCUGGUCUCCUGAGUAUUGCAGCUGGUGAGAGACAUGGACAGUUCUCCAAGUCUUAUGAUCCUGGGUCCAGCUUUCCCACCUGCCAUAGGUCUCUCCCUCAUCCCAGCCACUGCACAACAGACAAGAGGUGAGGUGCAGGACCUGAAGGACAGUGAAAGGACAGCAUGAUUUCUGCCUGAAAAUCACCAGGAACCAAACAGGUUGGAGACCCCACAGGUUUCUCUGCAAGGACAGCAUACAUUUCGCUAUGCUCCCUGACUCCAGGCUUCUGACGAAAGGCCGAAGACCUCCAUAGAGUGGGGUCCUCCAGUCAUGUAGUACAACAUCCAUCAGCCCCUCCACAGGUAGAGGGCGUGACUACAGGCAGUGGAGCCUCAAGACAGACCUCCAUAUUCAUGUGAUACCUAAAGGCCAGAGGAUGUAGCCAAUUAAGCAUUCCUUCCCAGACAAUCUUCCUUGCAAAAGGUAUUUAACCUCAGGCCUGCCCUGAAAAUACCGGGGUAUAGUUUCAUCCAUUUUCCACCAUGACAAUAAAUAUCUUAAGACCAUAGCUUACUUCUCUUCUUUGGGUCCUUGCUGUGGUGAACCGUGGAGAAGGUUAUUAACUACCAAGCUGCCAUCUAAUCUCUCGAAGAUGAUCUAUGUUCUCAGACAUGGAGACCCAGCAACCUAAGCAAGCCGAGCCAACUAUGACCAAGCCAAGUGAGUCGCUGCGACCAGAACU